CCCUUAGAUGUUCUGGGCUGCACGCGUGCUACAAUGAAGCGUCCAACAAGAUGCGAAGCCGAAAGGCUCAGCGGAUCUUUGAAGUCGUUUCGUGACCGGGACAGUUGAUUGCAAUUAUUCGACUCGAACGAGGAAUUCCUUGUAAUCGCGAUUCAUCAUAUCGCGCUGAAUACGUCCCUGCCCUUUGUACACACCGCCCGUCGCUCCUACCGAUUGAGCGAUCCGGUGAAUUAUUUGGAGUGUCCACGCAAGCCAAUCCGUUUACGUGGGUGCGAAAUUUUGUAAACCUUAUCGCUUAGAGGAAGGAAAAGGCGUAACA
This 319-nucleotide ribosomal RNA is filed under the name uncultured eukaryote. RNAcentral's name for it is "partial 18S ribosomal RNA". It matches the Rfam family "Eukaryotic small subunit ribosomal RNA", at positions 1470 to 1796 of the family's 1831-position model. The record is from RNAcentral.